GGAGUUAGCCGGUGCUUCUUCUGCGAGUAACGUCACAGAUGUAAGGUAUUAACUUACACCCUUUCCUCCUCGCUGAAAGUGCUUUACAACCCGAAGGCCUUCUUCACACACGCGGCAUGGCUGCAUCAGGGUUUCCCCCAUUGUGCAAUAUUCCCCACUGCUGCCUCCCGUAGGAGUCUGGGCCGUGUCUCAGUCCCAGUGUGGCUGAUCAUCCUCUCAGACCAGCUAGGGAUCGUCGCCUAGGUGAGCCUUUACCUCACCUACUAGCUAAUCCCACCUGGGCUUAUCCAUCAGCGCAAGGCCCGAAGGUCCCCUGCUUUCCCCCGUAGGGCGUAUGCGGUAUUAGCAGUCGUUUCCAACUGUUAUCCCCCACAAAUGGGCAAAUUCCCAGGCAUUACUCACCCGUCCGCCGCUCGUCAUCUUCAAAAGCAAGCUUUUGAAAUGUUACCGCUCGACUUGCAUGUGUUAGGCCUGCCGCCAGCGUCAUCUGAGCAUAAUACAACUACUGA
This 509-nucleotide ribosomal RNA is filed under the name uncultured bacterium. RNAcentral's name for it is "partial 16S ribosomal RNA". The record is from RNAcentral.